UAAUACGGAGGGUGCAAGCGUUAAUCGGAAUUACUGGGCGUAAAGGGUGCGUAGGUGGUUUAUUAAGUUAUCUGUGAAAUUCCUGGGCUCAACCUGGGCAGGUCAGAUAAGACUGGUAGACUCGAGUAUGGGAGAGGGUAGUGGAAUUUCCGGUGUAGCGGUGAAAUGCGUAGAGAUCGGAAGGAACACCAGUGGCGAAGGCGGCUACCUGGCCUAAUACUGACACUGAGGCACGAAAGCGUGGGGAGCAAACAGG
Molecule: ribosomal RNA, 256 nt
Filed under: uncultured bacterium
Lineage: Bacteria
Description: partial 16S ribosomal RNA
Rfam family: Bacterial small subunit ribosomal RNA
Source: RNAcentral